AUGUUACCAUUGGUGUGCUAUAAGUUAAGUUUAGGUAUUCAAUGGUUGAAAUCUUUGGGCCAUAUCCUUUGGAAUUUUGAUAAGUUGCGGAUAGAAUUUACCACAAACGGUUGCAAGUUUGUUCUAAGAGGUGCCAAGACUCAGAGUUUCAAGAUAAUUAACAACAAAUCCUUUAUCCAUGUUGUACAUGUUAGGUGGACAUGUAUUAUUGUUUUAAUCUACUGUUAUUAG
This is a non-coding RNA of Vicia faba (fava bean), 231 nucleotides long. The record is from the annotation of a GenBank genome assembly. Lineage: Eukaryota; Viridiplantae; Streptophyta; Magnoliopsida; Fabales; Fabaceae.